UACGUAGGGUGCAAGCGUUAAUCGGAAUUACUGGGCGUAAAGCGUGCGCAGGCGGUUGUGCAAGACCGAUGUGAAAUCCCCGGGCUUAACCUGGGAAUGGCAUUGGUGACUGCACGGCUAGAGUGUGUCAGAGGGGGGUAGAAUUCCACGUGUAGCAGUGAAAUGCGUAGAUAUCGGGAGGAAUACCUAUGGCGAAAGCAGGCUACUGGACCAUCACUGACGCUGAUCUGCGAAAGCUAGGGGAGCAAACAGG
Molecule: ribosomal RNA, 253 nt
Filed under: uncultured bacterium
Lineage: Bacteria
Description: partial 16S ribosomal RNA
Rfam family: Bacterial small subunit ribosomal RNA
Source: RNAcentral